Long non-coding RNA from Nyctereutes procyonoides (raccoon dog), 1181 nucleotides. RefSeq lists it as uncharacterized. Lineage: Eukaryota; Metazoa; Chordata; Mammalia; Carnivora; Canidae. The transcript has 5 exons. The record is from RefSeq and is a predicted model, not a curated record.
CGAGCGUCAGCGAGCCCCCAGGCGGGAGGACCGGAAGUGGCCUUUCUGGGUCCCUCCGACGCUGAACCAGAGCGCCUCGUACAUCUAACAUAAGACGGGAAUCCGGGAUGAGGAGGCCGAAUACGCUCCAGUAAGGAUAUUCAAAGUGGGAGCUUACGUGGAAGCAUAGAUGAUGUCCUUCCAUUUGAACAGACUACAGAGGCUGGGGAACAUAACAUAAUACCAAGAGCUACUGUUGACUUAGCGCUGUGUGUGCCUUAGCUCAUCUCUUGCAAUUUAUGAGCAUCAGGCCAUUGCAACAUAAGGCGCCGGCUGGCAAGUACCUCUCUACCUCCUAUCUCUACGUGUUUGACCAUUUUCUAGGUACGUCAGAUUUGGUUUGAAAACCCCUCCACUACCAGCUAACGAGCCCUGCCCAGCCCAGACAUCUAGGGCGCCGAAGCCACAGAGAGGACACUGAGGGAUCCUGGGGGACACUGGAGGAGGGGUGCCACUGCAUCCAAGCAGACUAUGUACCCACUCCUAGCCCACUGCUUCCUUCUCACUUCCAGUCCCCCUCUCCCAUCCCAGACCUCCCUCAGGGGGUUUCCAGCCUCUCCCCGCUAUCAUAUCUAUCCGCUGCAGGGAAGAGGCUGGAAGCUCUGGCAGAGUGAGAACAAGGCCAAGCUGUGCAGUCUGGGACAAUCACUAAUGCUUUCUGAAUCUGUUUUUCUUAUCUUUAAAAUGGGAAUGAGGAAUAUCCACACUCUGCUGAUUGCCUUGCAGGGAUAUUAAUGAUGUAUUGUUGAAUCAGAACAUCAGGAUGGAGUACAGAAUGCACUAAAGAUGGUCUGGAAGGAGAUCCAAUAAACUGUAGACAGAAGCUACCCCUGGAGUAUGCGAGUAGUGAGGGAAGGAUCAAGUAAUGGUGUGGGGGAGGAGAAUUUUCACUUUUACUUAAGAUGCCUUGAUAUUGCUUGAAUCUUAUUUCAGCAAGUGUGUGCCUCUUUUGCAAUUAAAAAAACAACGUCGGGAUCCCUGGGUGGCUCAGUUGUUUAGUGCCUGCCUUUGGCCCAGGGUGUGAUCCUGAAGUCCCCGGAUCGAGUCCCACGUCAGGCUCCAAAACAUGGAAACUGUUUCUGCCUUUGCCUGUCUCUGCCUCUCUCUCUCUGUCUCUCUCAUGAAUAAAUAAAAAAUCUUAA